This is a ribosomal RNA of Nosema bombycis CQ1, 204 nucleotides long. It matches the Rfam family "Eukaryotic large subunit ribosomal RNA", at positions 1 to 209 of the family's 3401-position model. The record is from Rfam. Lineage: Eukaryota; Fungi; Microsporidia; Nosematidae.
AAUUCUAAUUCAUUUUAGGAUAACCCUUUGAACUUAAGCAUAUCAGUAAAAGGAGGAAAAGAAACUAACAAGGAUUUCUUUAGUAGUGGCGAAUGAACAAGAAAGAACUCAUUAUGUAAUCUAUAUUCAUUAUAGAGAUGUUAAAAGUUAUUGUUGUCAUUCAAAUCAUAGAUACAUUAAAUUGUAGUAAAUGAUGACAAUAAA